RNAcentral lists this ribosomal RNA (581 nucleotides) under uncultured bacterium. Its description in RNAcentral is "bacterial SSU rRNA". It matches the Rfam family "Bacterial small subunit ribosomal RNA", at positions 338 to 1533 of the family's 1533-position model. The record is from RNAcentral.
CCUACGGGAGGCAGCAGUGGGGAAUAUUGGACAAUGGGCGAAAGCCUGAUCCAGCAAUGCCGCGUGAGUGAUGAAGGCCUUAGGGUUGUAAAGCUCUUUUACCAGGGAUGAUAAUGACAGUACCUGGAGAAUAAGCUCCGGCUAACUCCGUGCCAGCAGCCGCGGUAAUACGGAGGGAGCUAGCGUUGUUCGGAAUUACUGGGCGUAAAGCGUGCGUAGGCGGCGAUUCAAGUCAGAGGUGAAAGCCUGGAGCUCAACUCCAGAACUGCCUUUGAAACUAGAUUGCUAGAAUCUUGGAGAGGUCAGUGGAAUUCCGAGUGUAGAGGUGAAAUUCGUAGAUAUUCGGAAGAACACCAGUGGCGAAGGCGACUGACUGGACAAGUAUUGACGCUGAGGUACGAAAGCGUGGGGAGCAAACAGGAUUAGGAUACCCUGGUAGUCCACGCUGUAAACGAUGAUAACUAGCUGUCCGGGCUCUCAGAACUUGGGUGCGCNGNACGCAUAGUAUCGCGUGGAGUACGUCGCGAGAUAACUACAANAGAGUAGAGCGNGAGAGNGACGACGACGACGACGAGGAGAGG